This 68-nucleotide transfer RNA is filed under the name Linepithema humile (Argentine ant). RNAcentral's name for it is "tRNA-Asp". Lineage: Eukaryota; Metazoa; Arthropoda; Insecta; Hymenoptera; Formicidae. The record is from RNAcentral.
AAAAAAUUAGUUAAAAUAUAACAUUAAAUUGUCAAUUUAAAAUUAUUAUCUUAUAAUAAUAUUUUUUU